GACGAACGCUGGCGGCGUGCUUAACACAUGCAAGUCGAACGGAAAGGCCCUUCGGGGUACUCGAGUGGCGAACGGGUGAGUAACACGUGGGUGAUCUGCCCUGCACUUUGGGAUAAGCCUGGGAAACUGGGUCUAAUACCGAAUAGGACCACGCGCUUCAUGGUGUGUGGUGGAAAGCUUUUGCGGUGUGGGAUGGGCCCGCGGCCUAUCAGCUUGUUGGUGGGGUAAUGGCCUACCAAGGCGACGACGGGUAGCCGGCCUGAGAGGGUGACCGGCCACACUGGGACUGAGAGACGGCCCAGGCUCCUACGGGAGGCAGCAGUGGGGAAUAUUGCACAAUGGGCGCAAGCCUGAUGCAGCGACGCCGCGUGAGGGAUGACGGCCUUCGGGUUGUAAACCUCUUUCAAUAGGGACGAAGCGCAAGUGACGGUACCUAUAGAAGAAGCACCGGCCAACUACGU
This 461-nucleotide ribosomal RNA is filed under the name uncultured bacterium. Its description in RNAcentral is "partial 16S ribosomal RNA". It matches the Rfam family "Bacterial small subunit ribosomal RNA", at positions 28 to 506 of the family's 1533-position model. The record is from RNAcentral.